GACGAACGCUGGCGGCGUGCCUAAUACAUGCAAGUAGAACGCAGUUGCGAACGGGUGAGUAACGCGUAGGUAACUGCCUCAUAGCGGGGGAUAACUAUUGGAAACGAUAGCUAAUACCGCAUACUGUGAGCUGGACCUGCGUUGUAUUAGCUAGUUGGUGAGGUAAAGGCUCACCAAGGCGACGAUACAUAGCCUGCCUGAGAGGGUGGUCGGGCAAACGGGGACUGAGAAACGGCCCAGACCCCUACGGGGGGGAGCAGUAGGGAAACUUCGGAAAUGGGCGGAAGUCUUAACGAGCAACGGCGCGGGAGGGGAGAAGGGUUUCGGAUCGUAAAGCUCUGUUAUGAGAGAAGCGGUAACUAACGAGAAAGGGACGGCUAACUACGUGCCAGCAGCCGCGGUAAUAC
RNAcentral lists this ribosomal RNA (407 nucleotides) under uncultured bacterium. RNAcentral's name for it is "partial 16S ribosomal RNA". It matches the Rfam family "Bacterial small subunit ribosomal RNA", at positions 28 to 526 of the family's 1533-position model. The record is from RNAcentral.